Brassica napus (rape) is the source of this 1713-nucleotide long non-coding RNA. RefSeq lists it as uncharacterized. NCBI's taxonomy places the organism in Eukaryota, Viridiplantae, Streptophyta, Magnoliopsida, Brassicales, Brassicaceae. The record is from RefSeq and is a predicted model, not a curated record. The transcript has 3 exons.
AUUGUAUUCAAAAAACGUGGACCAAAUCAGAUAAUACGGUUAUUUUUUGUACAAAUAUCUGAACCCGUUUCAGAUACAUUUGUUAUUUAGAUAUUUUUAGGUUUCUAUAUAUCAGAACUGGACUCAUCCACACCCAGAACAACCCAAUAAAAAAUCAUACAUAAAUUUAUAAUAUUCAAGAGGAGUCUAAUUUAAAAAAAACGAUACCCGAAAAAAAUAAUCCGUACCUAAAUAGAUAGCAAAUAUUCAUGCCUAACUGAUUUUAUAAACUAAUAAAAAAAGAUUAUUUCUAUGUUUUUGGCUAAAUUAAGUGAAAUAGAAAGAUUUUUCUCAUUUAGUAAAAUAACUAUAUGAAGUGAAAAUUUAAGUGACAACAAAUGUAAUACAUUUUUAUUAUUUUGAUUUAAAUUAUUAUUUUAUUUAUAAAAACAUGUAAUUGCAUUAUGUUUUUAGCUAUGUAAUUUUUCACUGAUUGAAACUAAAAAAAAAUAAAAAAUUUAGUGAAACAAGCUAAACCAAAUGUUUGAUUUUAUAAUUGACACAAAGUUAAUGUUGAUUAACUAAUAAAUAAAAGCAUGCACUAUUAUUAUAUAAUAAUAUAAUUAAUGAUAUGAUGUAUUGUUAAGUUAAUAUAAUUAAUAAAAUUAUUAAAUUGGGUGAAAAAUGAAAAAGGCAAUUAAUGUAAUUAUAUUAAUAAAAUUACCUAAAACUACGAUUUCCUUUUCACAAAAUGUUAUCUUUGAUUUAUUUAUCCAAAAAUUAAUAUUGUUACGACCCUUUUUAUUAGACAACUUAAAGUUUGAUGAUAUGUUUUAAAUGAGAUUAUAUAAUUUCAUGUAUUUAUACUAUUAUUUGAUAAGUGAAUUUGCUUACUUGUUAUAUUUUCCAUGAUUUUAGAAAAAGUCAUUAAUUUAGUAUUAUUUUAAAAAUAGUUUUGAUAUAUUUAAGAUAAUUAAUAAAAAAUAUUAAUUAAUUCUGUCAAUAUACAUAUACUGUUAUUUUUUUAGAAGUAUUAUAAUAUAUUAAUUAAAAAUAGUUAUUAAACAAAUUCUACCGAUAAUAUCAUUAAUUACGAUUUCUCAUGGUGGUCAGUUCUUAUCUUCUGUUCACUAAGUCUUAGUGAAUUUUUUUUGACCCAUCAUUAAAAAUCAAGACUUUGAUUCUGUUUUUGCAGGUUUGUAUUUACACCCUUGUGGUGGCUGUGUCAUGCUGUGAUUUCGCGUGGUAGAUGCUCGUUGCCUUCUCCACCAAUGCCUCAUGAUUAGAAUUGGACUCCUUUUCAAUAUGUCAUGGCAACGCCACUGCUUGUUGCUUUCGAGAUCCUUCUCUUUCUAUAUCUUGAAGAUAAUUAUGAUGUUGACUUAAAGUUUGUCUUCUUACCCUUGCUUGCGUUCGAGGUAGCUAUCUUGGUAUAUAACGUCAGGUAUUACAUCGAAUUUUUAAGGUUUUGGUUUUGUUCACCCAUCUUACUUCUAGAUUGUUUUCAUUUUUACCAUUGUUGGCUUUGUUUACUUUUUUCCCUUUUAGUGAUGACUGACAUGCAACUUUUCCUGCAGAAAGUGCUUGACUUGCAUGCCUAGAGAUAGGAGUGGGAACUUUACCCGAUAUCCGAAGUGGCAUCCGAAUCCGAUCCAAAAAACCCGAACCGAAAUCCGAAUCGAAGUAGCAAAAUACCCGAACGGGUAUUGAAUAAGAAGAGAUUGGAUACCCGAA